GUGUAUUUGGAAAUAUCCCUAAUACAGGAUCACUUGGAUCCGUCGGCGAUGACGAGCGCGAAAGAAUGCGAAAAGUCCUCACGGAAUGCUCUAAUUAUGAGAUAAUCUCAUGGAUACUCCCUGGACUUAAGCAUAUCAUUAAGGGAAGGAAAAGAAACUAACUAGGAUUCCGUUAGUAGUGGCGAAUGAACACGGAAGAGCUCCAAUGGUAAAGCCUAAGUGCUGUUGUAAUGUAGCCUCCGAAAACAUUCUGGAAAGGAUGACCACAGUGGGUGAUAGUCCCAGAGGAGGAUGUAAAGAAUAGAGUAGUGCUGCUUGGUAGUGCAGUAUGAAGAGGAGGUAGAAACUUCUAAAGCUAAAUACAGACGGAUACCGAUAGAGAAGAAGUAGUGCGAACGAAAGUUGAAAAGAUCUCAUCUAGAGAAUGAAAAGUGAAAGUAUUAGGGCGUAAGCUGAUGACAUCAGACCCGUAUUGAAACACGGACCAAGGAGACUUUGAGUAUAGCGAGGCGAAGGAUGUGAAGUCCCCACCCGCGAGAAAUCUACAAGUUAUACUGAUAGGACCCGAAAGGCAGUAACU
RNAcentral lists this non-coding RNA (580 nucleotides) under Enterocytozoon bieneusi H348. RNAcentral describes it as "Archaeal large subunit ribosomal RNA". It matches the Rfam family "Archaeal large subunit ribosomal RNA", at positions 1 to 806 of the family's 2987-position model. Lineage: Eukaryota; Fungi; Microsporidia; Enterocytozoonidae. The record is from Rfam by way of RNAcentral.